UGUUGUGGCGCCAGCCGCAGUGCAGGGUAGCUAUGUACGGUCGGGAUAACCGCUGAAGGCAUCUAAGCGGGAAACCCACCUGAAAACGAGUUCUCCCUAUCAGAGCCGUGGUAGACCACCACGUUGAUAGGCCGGGUGUGGACGUGCGGCAACGCAUGAAGCUUACCGGUACUAAUCGCUCGAUCGGCUUGAUCAUUCUCAUU
RNAcentral lists this ribosomal RNA (203 nucleotides) under Fulvimarina sp. Its description in RNAcentral is "partial 23S ribosomal RNA". It matches the Rfam family "Bacterial large subunit ribosomal RNA", at positions 2719 to 2925 of the family's 2925-position model. Lineage: Bacteria; Pseudomonadati; Pseudomonadota; Alphaproteobacteria; Hyphomicrobiales; Aurantimonadaceae. The record is from RNAcentral.